CAGAGUUAUCCAACUCCCAAACCCAUGUGAACUUAUCUCUUUGUUGCCUCGGCGCAAGCUACCCGGGACCUCGCGCCCCGGGGGGCCCGCCGGCGGACAAACCAAACUCUGUUAUCUUCGUUGAUUAUCUGAGUGUCUUAUUUAAUAAGUCA
This 152-nucleotide unclassified non-coding RNA is filed under the name soil metagenome. RNAcentral's name for it is "partial internal transcribed spacer 1". The record is from RNAcentral.